Molecule: long non-coding RNA, 7495 nt
Filed under: Homo sapiens (human)
Lineage: Eukaryota; Metazoa; Chordata; Mammalia; Primates; Hominidae
Description: HSALNT0083457
Source: RNAcentral
GACGGAUCAGUCUGUUCAGGUCAGCUGAGAAAGGAAAGAGCUCAGUGUUCAGAGGUUCAGAGAAGUGACAGGACUGGCGAGGACAGAGGGCGGAGACAGGCAGACCCUGGACAUGUUUCUGUGCCCGCUGGCCUUCCUUGGCUUCAUCUAACUAACAAGAAGCCCUCUGCAGAGCCUGCUACGUGGGGCCCGGUGGCACAUGGAAGAGAUGGGCUUUCAGGGGCAGUCAUUUGGCCCACUCAGAUGAGCCCCACUAGCAGGUCUCGAGUGCUGUCCUCUCCACCAAGAUCACAGGAGUCGAUGGUGAGCACCCACUUCCCCAGCCCCAUCUCCUGCCUGUCCUGUAGGGCAACUGUCCAAAGACAGGGCUGUGGACCAUGCCUGGGUGUUCACCCAUCGUACUCCAUCUCAUGUCUACCCGUAGUAGUCAUUACCUGCCCUCAAACAUUCCGCCUGAGGCUGCCAGUUCUUGUAGGAAGUGGCCCCGGUGCCAGGCCAACAGCUUUCCUAGGCUUCAGAACACCGAGAUGAUUUCGGGCCAUCACUGAUCUUCACCCACCAGAGAAGUUUUUCACCAGGGGCUUUUCCUGACGUCAAAGUAACAGCCAGGUUAAGGGAACCCCUGGCCUGGGGGUGUCCCCCUGCCCACCCCCUGCAGCCCACAGCCCACCUGUCCUGCCUGCUGACAGGUCUCCUCCCACUCCUCCCGGCCUUGUUUGCACUGGAAAGUUGGGGUGCAUCGGCUGUGCACCUGAAUGUGUUAUUUGCUUCUGCUUAAAGAUCAUAAAGUCAGUAAAUUGUUUAAAAUAUAACUCAUUUGAGGGUCUAGCUCCUGCAAAGUCUGUUUGUCUUCUUUCAAAGCAUGCCUUAACUCAGCCCCUUCCUUUAUAAAACAGUCCAGCUCCAUAGAAAUUUUAAACAAACUGUCUCUCUCCUCUGGGCUUGGACUCAGCCCCCUCCCGGUCACAGGCCUGCCUGGAAGAAGCAGGUUGGGCCCUCUCAGCCGCUUCUGUUUAUAUCUGGGCCCAUUAUCAUGAAGGGCACUUUUAUUUGAGGAGUUGAGUAUUACAUUAGCAUUAUAAAACAAAUUGUUUUUCCAUUGCUUGAGAGCCAGGGAGAAUAAACCUGGACGGGCCAUGGCCUCCUAUUUAAAUAAACUAACGUCAUCCUGGGUACCAAGGAGCCUGAUUCGCCCCCCUGUUCCCCGCUUGGGCCGAGUUGUCCUCCCGGCCGCCUCUUUGGUCCCCUGGCCUCUGGGGCUCAGUGGGCUGUUCCCAGGGAAGCCUUCACCCUCUCUCCACCAGGGCUGUACAGUGACCCCGAGUCCAAUGGCAGAAAGGAUGGGGCUCAUCACAGGGCCCAGGACCCCAAAGGUUACAAAGCACCCACCCCUCCCCAUCUGACCCUCACCACCCCCAGCCGCACGCUUGGGCCUCCCUCCUCCUGUGCCUCCGGGACCGUCUCCCCACCUGCGGGAGGCCAGGUGUGUGGCUCCAGAGACCCUCCACCUGAACUACCCGCUCCCAGAGCCCCAGUCAGGGCCGCCAGAGGUCGCGGAGGGUGAAGCCAAUGGGCCUGGACGCCGAGGCCGGGGAGAGGAAGGAGCGAGGCAGCCCUCCAGCGGGUUCUGGUGGCGCCGAGAGCUUCGAGGGGACUCAACGCGCUUUGUAGGGCCUGUGAAAUCCGGCUUGUCGCAUAAGCUCCCUGAAGAAGAGAACAAACUUCCCAGACCAGGGGCCCGCGGGGAGCGGUGCAGACACCGCGGCAACCCACCCCGAGCCCGCCGGCCCUCGCUCCGUGCGCCCAAGGGGCGUCCCCCGAGGUGUCGCCUGCAAGGCAGCCGCGUACGUCGUUCUCAGUGCGGGUCCUGGGGGCGGCGGUGCCGGGGGUACGGCCUGGGGUCCCGUCGGUGUCCACUGCCCGCCUGGGCGCUGGGGCCGCAGAUCGGGGCUACACGGCUCGCGCCGACCGAACGCUGCCGCCAGAGCGGUGGAAAAGCGCUGGGCAGGCCGGCCUGGGGCUUUCGAGCUCUGCCGCCGAGCGCAGCAGAAAUACGGUGUGCAGGCAGGACCCGAAACAGGAGAGACCGGGGGGACCGGGGAGGAGAGGAAGGCUGGCUGUGGCAGGAACCCGGGCGCUCGGCACCUCCCCUGGUCCCGGGGGCCCUGAACCCCCGCCGCCGUCGCCGCCGGACCCCGCGAUCGUCCUGAACCCGGGCCGGGCGCUUUCGGUUUCCCGGCGCUCUGCGGCGCUGCUUUGUUCACCCUGCGCGCGCGGUUCCCAGAGUCCAGAGCUGCGGGCCUGAGGCUGAGGGCCAGGGAGCGAGGCGAGCACCCGGGGCCAGCCACGGAGGAGUCCCGACCACCACGGGAGCAGGGGGACUGGGAGGCAAGAGGUCGGGGGAGGCCGGGGUCAGGGCGGGAGGAACCCGAUGGGUCCCGCUGCGGCUUCAGGCGCGGGGUAUAGGGUAGGACCAGGAAGGGGACUGAAGCCCGGGACCAGAGCUGGGGGUGCCAGGAGCGGGGCCUCCAGUGGGAGCUCGGGGGUCCUCGCGGGUUCUUCUGGGUCGGUUGGUGGCUACCCAUCCCCAGAAGCCUGGCUGCAUUCCCCUAUAAGGAGGCUUCGGAGGGCCCGACUGGGUUUCCCCUCCAGGGCACCGGGUCGCAAAAGCGGCGUCGAAAACUCAUGAACAGGCGGCCGGGUCUGGGGCCGCCGGGGCAGUCGUGGCGUGCGGGGGCGGGGGUCCUGCCCAUCAGGCUGACUUCAGGGUCUCGGUCUGCGGCCUCCCUGGCCGUCGCUGCCUCCUUUUCCAGGUGCGCCUCGGCCCAGGGCUCCCAGCCACCACCUUGGGGCCGCAGAAGGCGAGCGGUCACACCGGGGCUGAGGUCAGGAGCCGGCUCACCCCCUCUCCUGCGACUGUUCCCUGACCUGCGACUGUUCGGUUCUCCCGACUGGCCUUGGUCGUUGCCUUUUAGGGUCUCGGUGUGACCAACUAAGCAGACACUCAGCGGCAGCGCCGCGCUUGGGGAGACUGCAGGGCAGAAAUGGGCCUAGAGGUGAAGGAGCCCUUCCCAAAUCGGACAGUCCCGGGGCUGGAGAGCCGGGAGCAACCCAGUUCCCUGAAGAAAUGAUUGCAGCUGCUCAGGCAAAACACGGUCUCCAGCACUGGGAAGGCGACAGCGGCGACAGUGCACCGUCCCCCUUGCACGCACUGAGGAGCCUGUCUUGGAGCUGAGACCUCCUCGCCCCCUCCGAGCUUACUGAGCACCCGGCCGGCAGCCCCCCGACUCCCCAGGAUGCUGCCUUGACCCCACCUAAUCUGGUCACUCACCUCCUAACCUUUCAGGGUCCAAGAGGACCCGCGUCCUGCCCCACCUUGCUGGGUGCAGAGCCGGGUGCACGCGGGACCCGCACUCGCUCUGGGCGAACACGCAGCGCCCUUCCCGGCCUCAGGCCGAGCCGGACCGCAACGCCGCUAUUAGUAAGGACUAAAAACAAAAGUUCUCCCCGAAGCCCACCUUUCCCCAGUAAGAAGGUGUCAAGGGUUAAACCGUUCGAUUUGCCCUUUUUCUUGAUCUUAGAGGGAAGAGGCAAGAACUCCUGGCACCUUUAUGGGCCUCAGACCUGUGGCUGCUGCCAGCAGUCUCAGUCCCACUAACUUUGAUCAGCCUUAUUAAUUCCAGCUGUGCUCUAUUUGUUUGUCAUUUUCCCCUUUUCCUCUGGAAUCAUUAUUUAUAGCAGGAAAAAAAAAAGCCCACUGUUAGAAUGGAGGCAAGGAGGGAAUUUCUGAGAACGACUGGGUGAAUGUAUUUUUCCUUAAAGGUCACCAAAAAGGAGGAGAGGUGUAGGGGUGAGUCUUGACUCUUAUGAGCUCUUCUUUGAAUUUAUUACUCAAGAGCAUUAACUAAUUACCAGAUCAGAUAAAUGAAAAAAAAAUUCCCUAAAAUAACCCAAGGUAAUUAUAACCGUGCUGUUGACACUAACGAUUAAUAAUUGAUCAGGAGUCACACACAAUAAAUUGUCAAUUUAUCUCCCCACAAAAAUGCGAGUGCUUGUGUAGCAUUGUGUUUUGUUUCUUCCCUCUGGGUAUUUUCUGUGAAUAUCGAGUCCGUAUUGGAGGCAGCCCCAAACCUCAUAGUCAAUUCUUUAAGAAUAUUACAUUUCAUUUAUUUACAGCUCCAUAUAGAACAAAGUAACAUUAGAACACCUUUUAAAAAUACUUUUAUUAUCAUGGGGCCAGAGUUAAACAAACAAAAAAAAUUCUUCCUCUUUCCUUUUAUCUGGGAUUGCGCAAAUACGGACAACAGAUAUUUCCUUUCUUCAUUGUAUUAGCAAUACAGUCCUCUUAAAUUGUGUCUUCAAUUAUUAUCUUUCUUAGAAAGAGAGAGAACACUCUGCCUUCACGGUAGGAAACACAAGACUAUUCUCUGUUCCAAGGGUGGAGGGGACAGAGGUGCCGGUUGAGGCCACAUCCAUCUGUUUCUAGGGAUGCAGCUGAAGGGAGAGGCUGAUGCAUACAAGUGGGGUGUCUGCUUCCUAAAACUGGGGCUCAAAGUGUUUUCUCUUCCACCCAUCAAUGGCUGAGGUCCAAGUGCAUAUUGUUGAAAACCAGAUUCGUAGCAUUCUAGCCCAAGCAAAGGGGAGGGCUAGUGAGUGCUUUCAUUAUGGCCAAUAGAUAGUAAUUUUCAGCAACUGGAAAAUUAUAUUGUCAUAGAUUACUUCUCCUUAUAAUUAGCCUUUAAAAUAUCUGUAGGGAUUUGUCACUUGCAUAAAGGUUUGAAAAUACAUCAAAGGGACAUGUCCCCCUUGCGAUUUGUAGAAAUUCAAAUGAUGUUAAUCAUAAUAUCCACAUAGCACAGACGGUUGUGUAUUGUUCCCAAGAUAGCCUCUUCGGUUAACGCUUUCAAAAAAAUAGUUAAAAUGUUAUGUUUGUAAAAGCAGUUUAAAACAUAUUUAUUAUAUCUAUUUAUAUUUUAAUUUUGAGUCUAAAUGAAUGUUUUCCUUGGGAUUCUCAAGGUACUGGGCAACUAAAGAAAAAUUAUAUAGUGAUAAUUAUUGUAUAUUGUUACUUGGAUGAAACUUUCUCAUAAUUCACUUCAGAGUGUUAUUGAAAUUUGAAAAUGCCUCUGAGUGGACCACAAAUUUGUUUGGAACAAUUUUUUUUUCCAAAUUGAUGUCUGUUUAAUUAGGCUGUAACAGUGGUAGUUUAGUAUGUACAUUCACUCCGUAGUUAAAAAACAAAGGGUCCACUUUACUUUUAGCCUCCUUGAUAUGUACUUAAAUGCAAUUGUAAAUGAUCCGAAAACGCGCACGGGCUUCGGAGGUGGCUAUUUCAUCUUUGUGUUUCUUCGCAGUGGUUCUCGCCUCCCAGAAUCCGCAGAGAUCUAAUAAACACAUAAGUUAAAGAGAGCCUCAGGGGAACCCCGAGCCCUCUCCCACCACUCUCCCAACUCCAGAAUGAGAUCCGCGGCGGCCCGGCGAGGGGGUUCUGGGGAGGCGCACCCCAGGCUGGCUACCCUGAGCCCAGGCCCAAGGCUGCCCCUCUAGGCCCCAGCACCCAGCCCCCUUCCUCUCUCCGCUCCCCGCCCCUCCUUCCUCGCAUCAGACAAAGGUGGAUGAAGUUCUUUUCAAGUUUCAAAGGCAGUUGCUGGGCAGCUUUGCAGAAACAAUAACUCUUUUAUUGGGAACAAAUGUUGACAUUUGACGGGCGCGGGAGGCAGCGCCCGCGCCGGCCGCCGGGCAAGCGCCCCGGUGCUCUCGGCAGCCCCCGGCCCCCGGGGCCCACCUGAGAUUAAAGCGCGAAUUCCGAUAAAUCAGCUCUAAGGAAACCCUGGGCCGCGGAGAGCAGAAGGGCUGUCGCGGAUCCACCACGCGGGCGCCGGGCCGCGGAGCCGGGAGCGCGCCCAGGCCUGCACCCGCAGCAAAGCCAAGGCCACCGCCCCAAAGCCCAUCUGCUCCUGGUCGCCCCGUUUUGCCGACGUCUCCCCGGCCUCAGUCAACAACAGCAAACUUCUAUCUUGGAGGGCUAGGUAAUUUUUGACUAUGAAAAUUUUAAAGCAAAAAUAAAAUUCAGACCCCAUUAACUUCCCUCUCCAGUGAAAGAUAUCUCUCUCUUUCUCUCUCCUUCCUUCCUCGUUCAUCUUUUCCAAUGACCAGCAUGGAGAGGAGCUCAUAAAUCACUCUACAUUUCUUUAAAAAGAUCCUUCUAAACACCUGCAGGUUUUAGGUUCUUAGUGUAUAUUUUAGAAAUCAAGUUCUCUAGAAGGAAAUUCAGGUCAGGAGACAGAGUGGGUAAGUUAUGGAAAUCUUUAAUAAUUUGUUGGGCAUAUAAACAUCAAAGAAGCUUCCUUAGCCUUGGCUAAUCUCCUGAGCUGCUUUGAGUUUUCACCAAUUGAAAUAUGCAUGUCCUCCCAGAGAAUGGAGUCGUGUGUGUGUGUGUGUGUGUGUGUGUGUGUGUGUGUGUGUGUGUGUUGAAAGGGAACAGGGAUCGCAUGUUCAGGUAAAACAAUCUUCCUCAUUCCAAAGGGAGGCGGCUUUUACCCCUGCUCCAAUGCCUGAACAUAAGCGCAAAGGUUAAUUUUGGCUUAGCUUUUCUACUCUCACACUUAAGAAAUGUACUGCCUUAAAUGUUGUAUCUUCAUUAGAGUGCAUGAUCUUUCCGUGUUUAUUUUGUUAAAUAUUGUUAACUUUCAUACUUUUCACAGAAGUCUUCCAAUUACUCUAGUUAUAACAUUACACAUAGCAGAGACAUUGCUGCCAUGUGCAAUUUAUUUCCUGCUGAUUUAGGAAAUAUGGGUAAUAUUAAUAAAAGUAAGCUACGUAAGACCUUCAGACAACAAUCUAAAACGCUUCCUGAAGGGGAAAAUCAUUAUCUCUAUGAAAAGUCUAUGAAGGUUUUAUUUCUAAAACCAAAACAAGCAAAUAUACUCAAUCCCCCUUUUACCCUCCAGACCUCAGAUGUGUUUGUUUCCAGAUACACUGCCAGAGUGGCAAAGCUUACCAUGUGAAAAAUCUUUCCUCCUGCCAAUAGAUAGCUCAGCUCCACACACGCUCAUAUCUAUUACUAGGAGAGGCAGAGAAGACAGAAAAACAGUUCUCCACCACAGAGAUUUACUUUAUGUCUGACCUCCAAAUGCUUCAAUAUUUAAAACUAACAAAAUACAUAAGAAAUAACAGAAAACAGAAACCUGGUUCUGCCCCCCUUCUCCACAGUCAAACCACAAUCACUUCUCCCCAUCGGUAUGGCUCUGUGUCCAGUUAACAGUCCCCUGGCUUGGCCUCAAGUAUCUAAGAUUACUUUCAAAUACCCUUUCUAACAAGACCCCAGCAAGAGGCCACUAAUUUCUAUGGCAAAAAAAGCCACUAGAGAGAGAUCCGUUUGUCAAUAUCAACUGGUCCAGCAAUUUCCCAUCCUCAGACACAUUGGCCUAUCGGAGCUGGCAGAUGUUUAGACAAGAUUUUAUAAAUUGUUCAAUAUCAGCCCAUAAUGAACCCC